Molecule: long non-coding RNA, 3222 nt
Filed under: Glycine max (soybean)
Lineage: Eukaryota; Viridiplantae; Streptophyta; Magnoliopsida; Fabales; Fabaceae
Description: long non-coding RNA (GMAX_LNC004143)
Source: RNAcentral
CAUGUUCCAUUUAAAGGGUGGUCCAAACGUUUCUUAAAACGAAACAAAUUUAUUAGUAAUUUACAAUUAUUAUUGAAAGCAAAAGAAAAAGACCCUUUCACCCCGUCGCAAGAAAAUAAUUACUACUACAUCACAUCACAAAGUUAUAGAGAGAGAUAUUGUUAAAAGAGAGAAGGAUGCAUUAAUUGGAAUGUAACUAUUCCGGGACUAUUGCAGAUUCCCCCACACUGCUUUGCCUCACUCCAUAAGUACCCCAUUUACCCUUGCCCAUUCGCAUUCCCAACGAACCAACACAGCCUCACAAGUAACAAACUUAUAACACACACUCUCUCUCUCUCUCUCUGCAAUGGCUGGAAUGGUUCCCCUUUGCAUUGCAUCAUUGGUCACUCUUUUUGUUGCAACAAGUGCUAGAAUUCCUGGGGUUUUCAAUGGUGGUGCAUGGCAGGGUGCCCACGCCACUUUCUACGGUGGAAAUGAUGCCUCUGGAACAAUGGGUAUGUACAAAAUAAAAAAACAAACUCAAAAACCCUUAUUACUCUUCUAACUUUUUUUUUUCAACCACCCUCUAACCCCAAACCAUAUUUCUCACCACAUCACACUAUUUCCCCCCUCAAAUCUCACUAUCUCAAACCGUUUUGUUACUUUUCAACCCAAACCAACCCUCUUUUUUCUGUUUUGAGCUCUUCCCACGAAAAUGUCGCUGUUUUUAUGGCCUCACAACAUCAAUUUUUCCUUAAUCUGGCCAAUUCUUCAAACCCAUGUUCGGUUUCCCUGUCCCUUCAAAAUGCAUACCACUUUGUUCUACCAUUACAAGUAAAAUAUCUCACCUUUCAUUUUUACACACUCCCUGAAACCCCCUCACAAUUAUUUCAAUUUCCUUGAACAUGAAAAUUUCGUUGUACUUAUUUUGUUUGUUUUAAUUCUUCAAUUCAUCGGGAACAACAUCUACUUAAUCUGAAGUUCAAUCCAAGAGAUAACAAAGCUUGAUAAAAAAAUUACUUUUGUUAACAAUCAAAUUGGGAUACUACUAAAUCUUAAGUUGAGCACAUGUCAUGUGACCUAAAACUUGGUUACUAAACCCAUAUUUCCCAUAUUUAGUCGAGUUAUUGUUUCAAAAUAAUUUGCUUUAUUUUGUCAAUUUUUAUUUUUAAUAUAAUAAAUACAUGGUUAACUAUGAGUCUAUGACCAUAUUUGUCUAAUUUCUAUUAAUUAACGAAAAUACUCGACAUGCAUUUUUUUCCGCUCAUUUUUGCUUCAUUUUGUAAUUUUCUCUCUCUACCUUUGCCUUUCUUUUUUCUUUUUAUCCUUUUACUUAUUUCACCCACAAAUCCACAGUGUAAAACCAAAUUUAUGAGUGACUAGAGAGUCAAGUCUUGUAUAAAUUCAUCCCAACCAAAAAAUUUCUCUAAAAAAUUAAAAGAAAAUGUAAAACAUCUACUUCCAGUUCAGCCUAUGAUAAAAGUUUCACUCACUUAUCUGAUAUUGUUCUCCUUAAUUUUUCUAUUUAAUUAUUUAUAGGUGGGGCAUGUGGGUACGGGAACCUAUACAGCCAAGGGUAUGGCGUGAACACCGCGGCCUUGAGCACGGCGCUGUUCAACAACGGGUUGAGCUGCGGCGCGUGCUUCGAGAUAAAGUGCGACCAAGAUCCGAGGUGGUGCAACCCGGGAAGCCCUUCCAUCGUCAUCACCGCCACGAAUUUUUGCCCUCCCAACUUUGCCCUUCCCAGCGACAACGGCGGCUGGUGCAACCCUCCUCGGCCCCACUUCGACCUCGCCAUGCCCAUGUUCCUCAAGAUCGCUCAGUAUAAAGCCGGCAUCGUGCCCGUCAGUUACCGCCGGUGAGUAUAGCAAAACUUCUUGCGUAGUGUAAAUAUUUUAUUUGUAAUAUGUUUUUAUUUACAAGGUGUUAAAUGAUUUUUUUUGUUUAAUAUUAUUUUUAUUGAUGAUUAUGAUAUUUAUAAUAAAAAAUAUAGCAUUUCUGAGAAAUGGGAAAAGUAAAACGUCAGAUCUUCAUUACUGUUUUGUUUUAAUUCCAUGAGUACUAAAAGGAUAAUUGGUUAUUAAUUUUUAUAAAAAUUUGUUUUCAUUACUGUUUUGUUUUAAUGUCUUACGAAGCCUUUUACUUGUUAAAUUUAAUGAUCUAAUAAUAAUCUUUACAGUACUUGUUAAUCAGAUCUUCAAAAUAUUUAUGAGAUAUAUAUUGCAUUGAAUUUAUUUAAAAGUUUAAAAUGUGAGAUUUUGUUUAUGAAAGGUUGAAGAUGGGGUAAAUAUUUUUUGAUAAUAUACAUAAACAUUAUUGAGGGUUUACUGAUAAUUUUUGUUUUAUUUUUUAUUUUGAAGUCGGGAUUGCUGUAGUUGUAGUCUCUUGUAAAUUGUAAUUAUGAUUUUACAUUUGAGUUUUGGUAUUUUCUCUAUUUUGGAAACCGUGGUAUAAAGUGGAUUUAGUGGGAUGCCUAUAACAAACCGAACUUGCAGAGAAGAUGAGGUUGAAGUUUUUUCAUGUUGAUUGUUCUCUUCCCAAAUUCCUUGUUUUCUUGGCAAACAAACAAACGAAACCCUAUCAGAAUAUAAUCUGCAGCUUCGUCCAUCGAAUAUAUAGUUAAAGUCAAUUUAAUAAGAUUAUAAUUUAUACCCUUUCUUUUACUUUUUAAACAAUACAUAAAUCUCUUUUAAUUUGUAUACUGCAGACAUAGAUCUUUCUGGUUAAAUGUUGUGUUGAUAUAAGUCAUUUCAAGUGUAAAAUAUGUAAAAUUUUAAUAAACGGGUAAUAUUUGACCUGUUAAUUAACCCAUUUGUAUUCAAAUGGUUACGGCUCCUUGAUUUAAAAUAUGGCUUUUUAUUUUUUAUUUUUUGUUUUUAAUUACAUACUCAGUUACACGCAAAUGGUAGAUUCAAAUGGUUACCUAACACUAUUUAUUUUCCAGUGGUAGAUAGAUUGCAAGAAUUUACCUGUAGUGUACCUUUCCUCAAUCUUCCAAAUGGUUCAGGAUUUGGGCUUUUAAGUCACAAUGACCAAAAUAACCUCAACAUUCAACAAAUCACCGACGCAGAAUCAUAUUCUUCGUACGCCCGUGGAGAGUUCGCUGUAAAAUCAACCAGAGAAAAAUGUUUACCCUAAAAAUGAGGGCACUGUUGCCUACGAAUACACCUAGUCUGCGCCGAUUUGUUGGGUCACAGUCACACCCACCACCCACACAUCCUACCAAAAGUUUUUGGGGCUCCG